RNAcentral lists this transfer RNA (88 nucleotides) under Candidatus Wallbacteria bacterium GWC2_49_35. RNAcentral's name for it is "tRNA-Ser". It matches the Rfam family "tRNA". From Rfam's summary of the family: Transfer RNA (tRNA) molecules are approximately 80 nucleotides in length. Their secondary structure includes four short double-helical elements and three loops (D, anti-codon, and T loops). Further hydrogen bonds mediate the characteristic L-shaped molecular structure. tRNAs have two regions of fundamental functional importance: the anti-codon, which is responsible for specific mRNA codon recognition, and the 3' end, to which the tRNAs corresponding amino acid is attached (by aminoacyl-tRNA synthetases). tRNAs cope with the degeneracy of the genetic code in two manners: having more than one tRNA (with a specific anti-codon) for a particular amino acid; and 'wobble' base-pairing, i.e. permitting non-standard base-pairing at the 3rd anti-codon position. Lineage: Bacteria; Candidatus Walliibacteriota. The record is from RNAcentral. RNAcentral also lists the same sequence under 1 other name.
GGAGAGAUGGCCGAGUGGUCGAAGGCGCAUGCCUGCUAAGUGUGUAUACUCCAAAAGGGUAUCGAGGGUUCGAAUCCCUCUCUCUCCG